CACGUAGGAGACUAGCGUUAUUCGGAUUUACUGGGCGUAAAGCGCGUGUAGGCGGUUCGGUAAGUUGGAUGUGAAAGCUCCUGGCUUAACUGGGAGAGGUCGUUCAAAACUACCGGACUUGAGAGUGGUAGAGGGAGUUGGAAUUCCGGGUGUAGUGGUAAAAUGCGUAGAUAUCCGGAAGAACACCAGUGGCGAAGCGGCUCUGCGCUNUNGNCGG
Molecule: ribosomal RNA, 217 nt
Filed under: uncultured bacterium
Lineage: Bacteria
Description: partial 16S ribosomal RNA
Rfam family: Bacterial small subunit ribosomal RNA
Source: RNAcentral